UUUUUACAAUGGAGAGUUUGAUCCUGGCUCAGGAUGAACGCUAGCGGCAGGCCUAACACAUGCAAGUCGAGGGGCAUCACGAUUGAAGCUUGCUUCAAUUGGUGGCGACCGGCGCACGGGUGCGUAACGCGUAUGCAACCUACCCAUAACAGGGGGAUAACACUGAGAAAUUGGUACUAAUACCCCAUAAUAUCAGAUAAGGCAUCUUAUUUGGUUGAAAGCUUUGGUGGUUAUGGAUGGGCAUGCGUUGUAUUAGCUAGUUGGUGAGGUAACGGCUCACCAAGGCGACGAUACAUAGGGGGACUGAGAGGUUAACCCCCCACAUUGGUACUGAGACACGGACCAAACUCCUACGGGAGGCAGCAGUGAGGAAUAUUGGUCAAUGGACGGAAGUCUGAACCAGCCAUGCCGCGUGCAGGAUGACGGCUCUAUGAGUUGUAAACUGCUUUUGUAUAAGGGUAAACCCAGAUACGUGUAUCUGGCUGAAAGUAUUAUACGAAUAAGGAUCGGCUAACUCCGUGCCAGCAGCCGCGGUAAUACGGAGGAUCCAAGCGUUAUCCGGAUUUAUUGGGUUUAAAGGGUGCGUAGGCGGUUUGAUAAGUUAGAGGUGAAAUCCCGGGGCUCAACUCCGGCACUGCCUCUAAUACUGUUGGGCUAGAGUGUAGUUGCGGUAGGCGGAAUGUAUGGUGUAGCGGUGAAAUGCUUAGAGAUCAUACAGAACACCGAUUGCGAAGGCAGCUUACCAAACUAUUACUGACGUUGAGGCACGAAAGCGUGGGGAGCAAACAGGAUUAGAUACCCUGGUAGUCCACGCAGUAAACGAUGAUAACUCGCUGUCGGCGAUACACAGUCGGUGGCCAAGCGAAAGCGAUAAGUUAU
This 879-nucleotide ribosomal RNA is filed under the name Rikenellaceae bacterium. RNAcentral's name for it is "bacterial SSU rRNA". It matches the Rfam family "Bacterial small subunit ribosomal RNA", at positions 1 to 868 of the family's 1533-position model. Lineage: Bacteria; Pseudomonadati; Bacteroidota; Bacteroidia; Bacteroidales; Rikenellaceae. The record is from RNAcentral.